This 533-nucleotide ribosomal RNA is filed under the name Cyanobium sp. RSCH1. RNAcentral's name for it is "bacterial SSU rRNA". It matches the Rfam family "Bacterial small subunit ribosomal RNA", at positions 845 to 1379 of the family's 1533-position model. The record is from RNAcentral. Lineage: Bacteria; Bacillati; Cyanobacteriota; Cyanophyceae; Synechococcales; Prochlorococcaceae.
GUCGUAGCUAACGCGUUAAGUGUUCCGCCUGGGGAGUACGCACGCAAGUGUGAAACUCAAAGGAAUUGACGGGGGCCCGCACAAGCGGUGGAGUAUGUGGUUUAAUUCGAUGCAACGCGAAGAACCUUACCAGGGUUUGACAUCCUGCGAAUCCCUUGGAAACGAGGGAGUGCCUUCGGGAGCGCAGAGACAGGUGGUGCAUGGCUGUCGUCAGCUCGUGUCGUGAGAUGUUGGGUUAAGUCCCGCAACGAGCGCAACCCACGUCUUUAGUUGCCAGCAUUCAGUUGGGCACUCUAGAGAGACCGCCGGUGAUAAACCGGAGGAAGGUGUGGAUGACGUCAAGUCAUCAUGCCCCUUACAUCCUGGGCUACACACGUACUACAAUGGUACGGACAAAGGGUUGCAAGCUCGCGAGAGUUAGCUAAUCCCAUAAACCGUGGUUCAGUUCAGAUCGUAGGUUGCAACUCGCCUACGUGAAGGAGGAAUCGCUAGUAAUCGCAGGUCAGCAUACUGCGGUGAAUACGUUCCCGGGC